Molecule: long non-coding RNA, 1415 nt
Organism: Limulus polyphemus (Atlantic horseshoe crab)
Lineage: Eukaryota; Metazoa; Arthropoda; Merostomata; Xiphosura; Limulidae
Exons: 2
Source: RefSeq, a predicted model, not a curated record
UUCUGCGCUUGUUUUCAGCAUUUUAGGUUGGGAAAUGAACGAUAUAACACCUCGAUAAUCAGAUUUCAAAUAUGUUCAGAAUAAUAUCCCAAGGGGAUGUCAAAAUGUUCAAAAUAAUAUCUCAAGGUGACGUUAAAGAUGUCUCGGACUAGAAAGAUAUCAUACGUAGAACGGUGGACAUGAAGGUUCUUACCCCCUUGAAACAUAUCAUACGUAGAACCGUGGACAGGAAGUUACAUACCCCCUUGAAAGAUAUCUUACGUAGAACUUUGGACAGGAAGGUUCAUAUCCCCCUUGAAAGAUGACUCACGUAGAACUGUCGACAGGAAGGUCCAUACCCUCUUGAAAGAUAUCUUACGUAGAACUGUGGACAGGAAGAAACAUCCCCCCCUUGAAAGAUAUCUUACGUAGAACAGUGGACAGGAAGGUUCAUACCCCCUUGAAAGAUAUCAUACGUAGAACUGUGGACAGGAAGGUUCAUAUCCCCCUUGAAAGAUGACUCACGUAGAACUGUCGACAGGAAGGUCCAUACCCUCUUGAAAGAUAUCUUACGUAGAUCUGUGGACAGGAAGGUUCAUACCCCCUUGAAAGAUAUUAUACGUAGAACUGUGGACAGGAAGGUACAUACCCCCCCUUGAAACAUGUCUCACGUAGAGCUGCCGGCAGGAAGCUUCAUCUCCCCCCUCCCCCGAAAGAUGUUUUAUGCAGAGUUGUUGGCAGGAAAAUUCAUACCCCCCUUUUCAAGUGCCACAAAAAACUCCUCUCAACAACAAGUUACUUGUUGGUUUCGAGAUGUGUUAUAAGCUACUUUCUAAUAAAAAAAAGAAUUUUAAAGUUGCGAAAAGCACUUUAUUUCAGAAAGGUCGACGUUUCGAUGUGCUAGAGCAGCUCUCACAUAGAUCGAAACAUCGAUUCGGAACGACGAAAUUUACAUAGAUAAAGUCCACUGAACUUAGAAGGCACUACUUAGUAUUUACCCUAACAUUGGGAUCACUAAGGUAUGAUAUCUUUCUCUGACGCCAUCUACACGUGAUACUCUUUGAUAUAAGCUAAACAGUUGAACGAUCUUACACAAAUACAGACACACAGACAGAUACAGCCAGGAUUUUUUGGUUGAUUUUUAUUUCUUCCCCAUUUUAACUCGGCAAACAAAUUAUUUUUCUGUUGCUAAACCUUAUAGAAUAUUAUAACUAACGUAUAAGUAGUGGUUGUUAUUUUAACUUAUCUUUCCGGUUGUGUAAUUUUUGAAUAAAAUAAAAUAAGAAUGAGUAAGUGAAAUUUGGUGAUACAUAGAGUUUGUGUGUAACUAGAUAACUAAGUCCUUCCAAAUGUUGUAUACAACUCCGUUUCGUUUGUAAGUUGAAAGAUAAUAGAGCAUUGUAAGAAAAAAUAUAGAAAUAAAGCUGCUAAAAUAA